Magnolia sinica is the source of this 1272-nucleotide long non-coding RNA. RefSeq lists it as uncharacterized. The record is from RefSeq and is a predicted model, not a curated record. Lineage: Eukaryota; Viridiplantae; Streptophyta; Magnoliopsida; Magnoliales; Magnoliaceae. The transcript is spliced from 2 exons.
UUUGUUAGUAAAUUACCUGUUAUUAUUAAUGUUUUUCUUUUCAUUUUAUACAAGUUGGGCCCCUUUUUUCAGAUUUUUGGUGCAUGGAUCAUAUAUAAUAUCAGAAUUUAGGUCACUGAACAAUGGCCUCACUUGUAAAAACUGAAAAAUCCAUUGUAUAUAAUCUCCUAUAUGUCAUGUAUGCUAACUGUUUGAUGAAAUGUCUCAACAAGGAAUGUUUUGUGUGGAUCGCAUUUGAGUUCCAUUUUUUUUCUCUACCCAUGAGUUGGCCCAUAUGGUUGUAUGGUUGGAUGACUGCAAAUUUUUUUGAAAGUUAUGGAAAAUUAGUAAGUGAUAUUUUCUGAAAUUAGGUCCCUCUCUUGUUGAGCAUUGCUAUUAGUCAUUGUUUUUAUUUUUAUUUUUAAUUAAUCUGUGUUUCUAUGUACACCAUCUGCUGUCAUCCUGCGAUAUUUGGUUUGGAAAAUCAGCUUGUGAUUUAUAGGAACUGGUUUUAUCUUGUGUUUGAAGAAUCAGUUGGACACCAUCUGUUGUUGUCUUGUGAUAUCCCAUAUGCUGUUUGCAACAAUCCGCUUGUGAUACAUCGUUUGAAGUAGAUUGUGAUGUGUUGUGAAGGAAUCCUGUGAUAUGUUGCAAAAAUCAGACCAUCUGCCAUUAUCUGUAUGCCAUCUAUUGAGUAUGUUGGCAGGUCUUUUGGGUUUUUCUAGAGGAUCUGAUUGAUUCUAUGCACAGAAUUCAUCAUUAUUUACAAAAGGGAGCUAAAAACAAAGAGUUUUUCCAUUCGAAAAAAGGUCUGUUUUCUGCCAUCUAUUUCUCUCAUUAAUCAGCUUACCAUGACAAGCAGAUUCCUAAUACUACAUGGAUCUACUUUGAGCUAUUAGCUCCCCCAUUUUGCGUGGUCAAAAUAAAUGUAAGCUCAUGAUAUAUGAUUUAAUUGUGGACUUGUUCUGCGUAUGAACUGAAUGUUUCUUUUGCAUGUGCUCCUUGGACUCGGAUUGCGUAGUGUGGCACACAGCACCAAUGUCAGUACUGUGCACUAUUGGAAAAGCUGUGGGGCCCAUCAUGAUAAGGAAAAACAGAAGCAGGAAGGACACUGAAGUGGCAUAUGCAGAAGGACAGAGAAGUUUACAUUUUCUUCAUUCUUCUUUUCACUUCUCUGAUAUUCCAUUGUAUUAAAGAAGUCUUGUACUAAGAAAGAUUUGAUUCACAACUUAGAAAAUCACAAAGCAACAAUAUUUUUGUGAAUACAAAUUCCUCAUGUUUGAAGUAAUCAAA